RNAcentral lists this long non-coding RNA (1061 nucleotides) under Marmota monax (woodchuck). Lineage: Eukaryota; Metazoa; Chordata; Mammalia; Rodentia; Sciuridae. The record is from RNAcentral.
CUCAUUAGCUGAGAAAAGACAUUUAUUUAUUGUUUGUUUUGCUUUGUCUUCCUCAUGGAUAACUAAAGUUGGAUCAGUUAUUCUGGUCCAUUAGCCAUGUGCCCCUUCUCUUCCAGAUCAUGCAUGAAUGGAUGGUCUGCUUGAAUGUCUGGUCUGUUCCAACAGAGAAGACCUUUCAUCAAAAGGCUUUGAAGAAUUACUCGCAUCCCCACUGCAGCUUUCACUUGUGCAUUUACCACCUCCUGCCUUCCCUUGAUGCUCUUCCUGAUAUCCAUCAGUUCACACCAUGUCCACUAUUCUCAUCAUUCACUUCAGCUGAGCUUUAGAUGAUAGUAACACCAUUUUCUAUAGCAUCAUGUUGCUCACUAAAUUACAGGAGUAUUGUGAAGUUGAUCAGCUUAAGCUUAUUCUCAAGUUCUGCUUGUUUUAUUCAACAUCUUUCAUUUUCCACAAAUUCAUCUACAGAUUGCUGCUGCUCUAAUUUGGCAUCUCAAAAUAUUACUCUUCUUAACUGUGUCUUCUAAAUAUGUUGAUUGACUUUUGCUUUACCAGUGGUGAAUGCUAUGUCUCUACCUGAUGUCUCUUGUCCUCUGCCUGAACCUAGAAAUCAUCUUUACCUUCUGUUCUUUUCUGUUUGUUUGUUGUUUUUUUUUUAUAACUACCCUUCUUAAAAAGAAGUGGUUUAGGUUAGGUUUUUAACACAACUUACAUAUGAACUAGUUGCAAACCACAGUUUUGAUAAACAUUCUGUGUUUCAGGAGGCUAUAGCAAUGGGAUUUGUAACUGAUUAGCUAAUGAUCCUGAUGAUUUCAUUGAACAUAGAGUCUACUUUUCAUCACAUAGUGCAACUGUAAUUUGAUAUAUUACUCUGCCCAAAUAAAGAGUAGAAUGUCUACUCUUCUAAUUCAAAAGAAGAUCCCCACAGACUGAAUGCCUGUCAAAUAUAUGAUAUUCAUUAUUUUUAAUUAACCUGCCAAUGUAAUGUCAAUGUAAUUUGGUAUUAUGUGACCCAUGACACUCUUUCCAUAUGUAUUGUCUUUUAAUAGACUUUGGAUCAUCGU